Long non-coding RNA from Sphaerodactylus townsendi, 188 nucleotides. RefSeq lists it as uncharacterized. Lineage: Eukaryota; Metazoa; Chordata; Lepidosauria; Squamata; Sphaerodactylidae. The transcript has 3 exons. The record is from RefSeq and is a predicted model, not a curated record.
UCCCUACAUCUCUCCCUUGUGAGAACUUCCCAUUUACACCCACCCUUUGCUUCCUGUUUCUCAACCAGUUUUUAAUCCACAGGAGGACUUCCCCUCUUAUUCCUUGAUUGCAGAGUUUUAUCAAUAGUCUCUGGUGAGGAACUUUUGUCAAAAGCCUUUUGGAAAUCCAAGUGAAGACAAUGUCCACU